Molecule: unclassified non-coding RNA, 312 nt
Filed under: Hevea brasiliensis (rubber tree)
Lineage: Eukaryota; Viridiplantae; Streptophyta; Magnoliopsida; Malpighiales; Euphorbiaceae
Source: RNAcentral
CAGGAGUCUCACCUAUGUCCGAACAGAGCCUAAAACCUGAUGGGAAUUCGGGUACCACUUAUUCGAACGAUGCAUAUUUUCCUUUGUUCAAAUGUUCGGAAUAUAAGUGUGUCGAAUUCCAUUGAAAUGUCUGAAUCCUGACUGCAUGGAAUGUUUUCACGCUGCGGCUGUUACAAAUCCAGUAAAUUCUCUUGCUCAUUAGAUUAUCGAUCUUCUGUAUAUGGUGAACGACAUAUGCUAGAAUUAGGUGGAAAUCUAAAGGAGUUGAGUGAUAUGGAAGAGUUUAUCAUUGGCAAAUAUUUUUGGGUUCUU